RNAcentral lists this ribosomal RNA (495 nucleotides) under uncultured bacterium. RNAcentral's name for it is "partial 16S ribosomal RNA". It matches the Rfam family "Bacterial small subunit ribosomal RNA", at positions 29 to 506 of the family's 1533-position model. The record is from RNAcentral.
AUGAACGCUGGCGGCGUGCCUAAUACAUGCAAGUCGAGCGAACAGACGAGGAGCUUGCUCCUCUGACGUUAGCGGCGGACGGGUGAGUAACACGUGGAUAACCUACCUAUAAGACUGGGAUAACUUCGGGAAACCGGAGCUAAUACCGGAUAAUAUAUUGAACCGCAUGGUUCAAUAGUGAAAGACGGUUUUGCUGUCACUUAUAGAUGGAUCCGCGCCGCAUUAGCUAGUUGGUAAGGUAACGGCUUACCAAGGCAACGAUGCGUAGCCGACCUGAGAGGGUGAUCGGCCACACUGGAACUGAGACACGGUCCAGACUCCUACGGGAGGCAGCAGUAGGGAAUCUUCCGCAAUGGGCGAAAGCCUGACGGAGCAACGCCGCGUGAGUGAUGAAGGUCUUCGGAUCGUAAAACGCUGUUAUUAGGGAAGAACAAAUGUGUAAGUAACUAUGCACGUCUUGACGGUACCUAAGCAGAAAGCCACGGCUAACUACGU